GAGAUAACAACUCACAAUUCAAAACUGAACCAGGAAAGAAAGAAAGAAUCAGGCAAUGCUUUAAAACAAACAUAGAUUUUAUUGAAGACGACAAAUUGAAUCACAUCAUAACAUAUAACAUAAAUGUAAAACCAAACGGAAAAUGUGUUGCUGCAGAUCGAUCCAAGUUAAACGCAAGGGUCACCGCUCAUCACCAGUUUCUAUUGCCACAACCGUUUGCUUUACAGGGGCUCUAUCAACCGACAAUACAAGAUGCCGACGCUUCGUCCCUGUCACGUUGGCCUUCCUCGGAGUGCAUUCCGCAUCUGUGUUCCACUAUUUCAAUAUGCUAGUUCUAUUUGUCGACGAUGAAGGUCCGCGUUUUGACGGAGACGAGUAAGGAAAUAGAUCGCGAUUGAGAUGGCGGAGAGGGUUGACGAACGGAGAGUGGAGCUGGUGAUUGUUUAUGGAUGAUUCGGCGGUGAUUGUAGAUCUGGCCGAGGGUUAUUAGGAUAAUGAUGAUGGAAGUGGGUUAAGAGGAUUCGUCGGCGAGGCGGAGGGUUAAAGGUUUAGCGGUGGUUGAAGAUUUAUGUGGUGGUCGACUAGAUCAGUGGUGGAUUUGUGAACGGAAGAUGGAGGAUGAUGGAGGGUGAAUGACGGUGGUUCCUGGGGUUCGUCGGCGGAUUGCGCUUUGUUUUUUGUUGUUGGUGAGCGGUGGAAUCGAAGCUUGGAGUGAGUGGAAUGGGGUUUUCCGGCAAGAUCGGUGGUAGUUGAGUUUAGCGAUGGAGGUGUCGUGUGGGUUAACGGCAAUGGAGGUUGUGCAUUUGAAGAUGGGUUGAGAUGGUGGUAAAUGGUGGUGGUUAUGAGAGAGGAAGAAGGAUUUUUAUUUGUUUUAUCUUUUUCAGAGAGAGAGAGAUGAGAUUUGUGAGGAAUUGAAAGAGUGGAGGUAGCGUGAGGGAGUUUGAGAAUUCUGUUGUGAGAUUCUCUUAUUAGAGUGUGAGGAGUUUGUUAGAGGGCGCGUGGGGAGAGUGAAGAAAGAUUUUUAUUAUUAUAUUUUCUUUACUAAAUAAUCUAGAAAGAUCCUUUUAGUGGCAGUUGGGAAUGGAAGAGCUGUCAACUUGCAAGACAAAAAGAAUCCAAUGCUAUCUAUAUACAUUUAUUUGAAAUCUGAAAAUUAUAAAGUAUUUAACAAUUAUAUUAAAAAUAGAAUCAAUUCACCAAAAUAAAUUCAAACUAAUUACGUAAUAAAUUCUAAUUUAUUCCAAUGAUAUCUUGAUUAAGAAAAUAAAAGUCGGGAACAAAUAUUCUCGAAAAAUUAAAUUGGACAAGCUAAAAUGAUCAGCACAAAAUAUAUUUAUUGAAAAAAUACAGCGUUUUCUUCAAAUUUUAAUGAUUCAACCGAUUUGUCUGUAUUCUCAAAUAAAUUCAUUCUGACUGACAUUUUAGGUACUAUUCAUGAUGGAAUGUAUGUCAUGCUAUGCAUAUGAUGCAAAAAUAAAAAUGAAAUCAAUUCUGUGAAAAUUUAAAUAUGCCCGGACAAAAUUGGGGUAUGACAGUCCCUACCCUGCAACAAGUAAAGUCUUGGUUGGGGAAAUGCUUUUCUAUGAAGGACCUAGGUGAAGCAGCCUAUAUUUUAGGAAUUAAAAUCUAUAGAGAUAGAUCACAAAAACUGCUUGGCCUAAGUCAGAGUACAUACAUAGACAAAGUGCUGAGACGCUUUAAUAUGCAUGAUUCCAAGAAAGGAUUCAUACCUAUGCAACAUGGCCUGUGUCUAUCAAAAACACAAUCCCCUUCAACUAAGGAAGAAAGGGAUCGCAUGAAUAAGAUUCCAUAUGCAUCUGCAAUAGGAUCUAUCAUAUAUGCCAUGUUAUGUACUCGACCAGAUGUCUCGUAUGCUUUAAGUGCAACGAGUAGGUACCAAUCUGAUCGUGGUGAUGCCCAUUGGCUAGCUGUCAAGAAUAUCCUUAAUUACUUGAGAAGGACUAAGGACUCAUUCUUGAUAUAUGGAGGUCAGGAAGAGUUAGCUGUAUUUGGAUACACUCAUUCUAGCUUCCAGACAGAUAAGGAUGACUUUAGAUCACAAUCUAGUUAUGUGUUUUGCUUAAACGGUGGCGAUGUGAGCUGGAAAAGUUCAAAGCAAGAUACAGUUGUUGAUUCUACAAUCGAGGCCGAGUAUAUUGUUUCCUCAAGUGAAGCAAAGGAAGUUGUUUGGAUCGAAAAGUUCAUUAGUGAACUUGAAAUAGUUCCUAGCAUUGUGGGUCCCAUUGGUCUCUAUUGUGAUAACAAUGGUGCUACCGCACAAGCUAAGGAGCCUAGAUCUCACCAACGAUCCAAAUACAUACUCAGGCGUUAUCACCUCAUUCGAGAGAUAAUAGAUAGAGGAGAUGUGAAAAUAUGUAGAGUACCUACACUUGACAAUAUUGCUGACCCACUGACAAAGCCUCUUGCGCAGCAGCCAUACUAGAUCAAUGGCAUUAGGGGUAUGCCUGAUUGGCUCUUAGUGCUAGUGGGAGAUUGUUGGUGUAGCCUAGAGGCAAUACUUUUGGUACUUGUAUCGAAUAUUUAUUAAUUAAUAAAAGGCUUUUUCUUUAUUAUGUUUGAUUAAUAAAGUCCCUAGAAUAGCUAGUCCGUUUAAUGUAUCAAGUAUGACUUAAUCAUGAGAUCACAUUAAACAUAAGGACAUUAUUCUAUCCGUAGUCGAGCUUUAUUGUGAAGUGGGAUAACAUUAAAGCAUUAAGACUAUUAUGUUUGUAGAUCGAUGAUCACAUCUCAUGGAUCAUGGAUAAAGAGUUAUCAAGUCUUAAACAUAGGUAUGAAUAUUAAGAGUAAUAUUUAUACCACAUUGACCCGCUAUGAGAAUACUAUAUAGAAAGUUAUGCAAAGUUUCAUAAGUUACUCUCAUGGUGAUAAUGGUGUAUACCACUCUUCAACCUGAAACCACUAUGGAUCCUAGAUGUAGAGUCGAGUGCUUUAUUGCUGAUCCAACGUUGUCCGUAAUUGGAUAACCAUAAAGACAGUUGAUGGGUAUUCCACGAAGCAUGGUGAGGGACAUGAGUGACCUAGAUGGAAUUUGCCCAUCCUACGUAACAGGAUAAAUGUCUACGGGCCCAAUAUUGAACUGGACAAGGAUGACACGGUCUAUACCUUGUGUUCAAUAUAGACAUAAGGGCAAAGGGGUAAUUAUAUACAUAAUUAUUAUCACAGGAGGUUUUGUCAGAUCACAUGACAUUGUAGCAGAGAUGUUGUGGCUAAUACCGCUCCACUUAAGUUUAUUCAUGUUAAAUGCGAUUUAAUAUAAGUGCCACCGUCGCGAAAACCUACAGGGUCAACACAAAGGUACGGUGUACUUAAGUAGAAUACGAAAUAUGGUAAGGUACCAAAUACUUAAGUGAUUUUGGUAUAUUAUGAGAUAUGGGCCAAAAUACACUUAAGUGGGCUUUUAGCUUGAAGCCCACACAAGUGGUUCUAUAAAUAGAACACUUGGGUAGAAGCAUUGAGACUCAGACUAAGACUCAAGUGAAGACUUGGAAUUUCGUUUCUCUCUCUCUCUCUCACUCAAAGCCUUCAUUCAUAGCAGCUAGCACUGAGAUUGAAGGAAUCCGUUCGUGUGGACUGAGUAGAGACGUUGUCAUCGUUCGACGUUCAUGAUCGCUCCGUGGAUUUGUAUCCAAGAUUUUGAUCGUUACAAGAGAUAUGCACCAAAGGUUUGAAUCUCCACAAGAGGUAACGAUUCUAUCACUGAUCAUGCCCAUUCGUAAGGAUCACUAAAUGGAGGAAUUUUUAAAUUCCGCUGCGCCUUGGAUGGCAAUUCUCCUUCAGCUGCAACGGCUCACUUUGUGUCAUCUAUGCCAGCCGGGUUCCCUUGGGGAAUGCCUGCCAACUUUGUACCCGAGGGUUUUGCUCCAACUCUCGCUUCUCUGCCGGCAUCUAGGCCGGUCCUUUCUGUGCCACCUCCCGUUGUGCACACCUUACCUAGAGUGGAAGACACCAUCUAUCAUUCUGAGCCACCUGAGGGCCCAAAUGUUUAUGAAAAGAUGGACGAGAUGAAAGACCAAUUCCUUGAGCUGCGCAAGGAACUGAAGACUCUGAGGGGUAAGGACCUCUUUGGUAAAAGUGUUGAUGAGUUGUGCCUUGUGCCCAAUGUUAGGAUCCCGAUUAAAUUCAAAGUGCCUGACUUUGAGAAAUAUAAGGGAAACACCUGCCCUCUUAGCCAUCUUGUGAUGUAUGCUCGCAAUAUGUCAACGCAAACAGACAACGAUCAACUUCUUAUCCACUUCUUCCAGGACAGUCUGUCUAGUGCUGCUCUCCGAUGGUACAUGGGUCUGGAGAGUGUAAACAUCCUCUCCUUCAACGAUCUUGGCGAGGCCUUUGUCAAACAAUACAAAUACAAUGUGGAUAUGACUCCCGAUAGGGACCAGUUAAGGGCGAUGUCCUAGAAAGAGAAAGAGACUUUCAAAGAGUACGCCCAGAGAUGGCGCGAGUUGGCAGCUCAGAUAGUGCCACCCCUUGAAGAGAAAGAAAUGACAAAGAUCUUUUUGAAGACUUUAAGUUAUUUCUACUAUGAGAGGAUGAUUGCCAGUGCUCCCUCGGACUUCACCGAAAUGGUGAAUAUGGGAAUGAGACUGGAAGAAGGAGUCCGUGAAGGACGUCUAUCCAAGGAUGAAGGCUCUUCAGCAAAGAGAUAUGGGAGCUUUGCGAAGAAGAAGGAGGGAGAGGCACAUGUUGUGUCCUCCCAUAUCAAGAGAAGACCCUCUGUGAAGAGGAAGAAUGUGCGUCUUGCCGUUAGCCAACACCAGGUGGCUCAUAUAGCACCUGCCUUUAGAGAAGUUCAACAUCAUCAAUAAUAAUAACAACAACAAUAUCAACAACAACAUCGUCCACAACAACAGGCCUACCAGCCUCGAAACAACAAUAACACCAGCACCAGCUACGAUAGGAAGAGGGUCACUUUUGAUCCAAUUCCAAUGACUUAUGCUGAACUUUAUCCUUCUCUGAUCGAUAGAAAGUUGAUUACUCCACGAGACCCUCCCGCUAUACCUACCAACCCUCAGUGGUGGUAUAAGCCUGAACUACACUAUGUAUAUCAUUUCGGUGCUCCUGGACAUGAUGUGGAGAAUUGUUAUCCCUUGAAGACCAAGGUGCAAGACCUUGUGAGAAGUGGAUUUUUUUUUCCGAGGACGUAGGUCCUAAUGUGAGGAAGAACCCAUUGCCCGAGACAGGGAAAGCUGCUGUGAAUAUGGUCCAGGGUUGUCCUGGUAAAUAUAAAGUCCUGUAUGUCAAUGAUAUCAGGCAAUCUUCGGUCGAGAUGCAUAAACUGUUGUGUGGAUACAAUCACUAUGAGCAUGACCAUGACAGGUGCCAGGUGUGCACUGUCAAUGAGAGAGGAUGCCAACAAGUUAGAAAGGACAUUCGAGAGAUACUGGAUCAGGGAAUGAUCGAGAUACUUCAAAAUCGCAACGAGGAUGAAGUUGAUGUUAUCUCUCCUGUAUUCAGGAUUCCAGAACCUGUUGUUGUCAAAUAUAAUGGCAGCAAAAAGAAGGUCUCUCCAACUCUUGUGAUUAAACCAGUGGGCCCUGUCCCGUACGUAUGUGACAAAGUUGUUCCCUACAGAUACAAUGUAGUGAUGCUAGAGGAUGGGAAGGAGGUGCAGUUGCCCUCAACCUCUAUUGUGAGCAUCUCAGACGUCAGUGGUGUGACCCGUAGUGGUCGUAUUUUCUCGGCUCCGCUGAAAUCCCAUGAAGACGUUGUGGGGAAAGCUGUGGUUAAUCCUGCCGGUCCCGUGGGGACUUCUUCUUCUGAUAAUAUUAUUGUGAAGGGUAUUGACCCUGUUGUUGAUAGAACUCCUGUCCUGGUUGGCCAGCAUGGCAUUCUGAAAGAGGACUGUGAUGAGAUGCUGAGAAUCAUCAAAAGGAGAGAAUAUAAUGUUGUUGAUCAGCUGCUACAAACUCCAUCAAAGAUAUCUGUGUUAUCUUUGUUGAUGAAUUCUGAGCCACACCGAGAAGCUUUGCAGAGGGUGUUGGACUUGGCAUACGUGGACCACGAUGUCACUAUUGAGCAGUUUGAUAGCAUUGUUGCAAACAUAACUGCUUGUAACAAUUUGAGCUUUUGUGAUGCUGAUCUUCCCGAGGAGGGAAAAGACCACAAUUUGACUCUACACAUUUCAAUGAAUUGCAAAGAUGAUGCCUUGUCUAAUGUGUUGGUAGACACAGGAUCAUCGCUUAAUGUGUUGCCAAAAUCCACUCUGGCUAAUCUUUCUUAUCAGGGGCCUCCUAUGAGGCAGAGUGGAGUGGUUGUUAAAGGUUUUGAUGGAUCGAGGAAAACUGUGAUUGGCGAAGUAGAACUCCCGAUCAAGAUUGGACCUAGUGAUUUCUAGAUCACUUUCCAGGUCAUGGAUAUCCAUCCAUCAUACAACUGUUUGCUUGGUAGAUCAUGGAUUCACGAGGCAGGCGCCGUGACAUCCAUCCUACACCAGAAAUUGAAAUUCGUUAAGAAUAAGAAGUUGGUGGUGAUAGGGGGAGAGAAAUCUCUCUUGGUUAGCCAUUUAUCUUCCUUUUCCUACAUAGAUGCUGAGGAUGAGGUUGGAACUCCGUUCCAAGCCUUGUCUAUUGCUGAGCCUUCAAGGAAAUGACUUUCUUCAUUUGCUUCCUACAAUGAUGCUAAGUUGGCCAUUGAGCAUGGUGUAACUACUGGUUUGGGGCAAAUGAUCAAAUUGGAAGAUAAUAAAUCCCGAGCUGGCAUAGGGUACUCUUCCGGUGUUUCUAAUGAGCGUGGGUUAUUCCAGAGUGGAGGUUUCAUCCACAAUAUUGAAGAUCAAGAGGCUGCUUCCAUCGUUGAAGAUUUAUACAAUGAGCGUGGCACAUAUUUGAUUUAUACAAUGAUAUCCACUCAAAAAUUACAUGUUAAAUGUUUGUUUUUCCAAAUUAUUUUCCCUUUUUUCUUUUUGCAUGAAAUUGGUGAUCACCAUAAAACCCUAAAUAGAGAAUAAAAUCAAUAUUUUCAUCUGCAUAAUGAUUUGCCUUGUUUGAAUUCUGAAAUUUCUUUUAUACUCAAAAUCAUUAUGCAGGUUGAUCAAACCCAUUGAACAUAAUGAUCCAACACCAUCUCCCAACUUUGAGUUCCAUGUAUUUGAGGCAGGAGAAGAUGAUGUUGAAGAGAUUCCUGAUGAGAUUACCCGUCUGCUUAAGCACGAGGAGAAGAUCAUUCAUCCGCAUCUUGAGAAUCUGGAAACAAUCAACUUGGGGUCUGAAGACUGCAUCCGAGAAGUGAAGAUUGGGGCACUCCUUGAAGAGUCUGUGAAGAAGGGGUUAAUUGAGUUGCUACGAGAAUAUGUCGAUGUCUUAGCCUGGUCGUAUGAAGACAUGCCUGGUCUAGAUACUGAUAACG
This 7362-nucleotide long non-coding RNA is filed under the name Lathyrus oleraceus (garden pea). Its description in RNAcentral is "Pisum sativum (pea) long non-coding RNA (PSAT_LNC020978)". The record is from RNAcentral. Lineage: Eukaryota; Viridiplantae; Streptophyta; Magnoliopsida; Fabales; Fabaceae.